Molecule: ribosomal RNA, 448 nt
Filed under: uncultured bacterium
Lineage: Bacteria
Description: bacterial SSU rRNA
Rfam family: Bacterial small subunit ribosomal RNA
Source: RNAcentral
GAUGAACGCUGGCGGCGUGCUUAACACAUGCAAGUCGAACGGGAUCCAUCAAGCUUGCUUGGUGGUGAGAGUGGCGAACGGGUGAGUAAUGCGUGACCGACCUGCCCCAUACACCGGAAUAGCUCCUGGAAACGGGUGGUAAUGCCGGAUGCUCCAGUUGAUCGCAUGGUCUUCUGGGAAAGCUUUCGCGGUAUGGGAUGGGGUCGCGUCCUAUCAGCUUGACGGCGGGGUAACGGCCCACCGUGGCUUCGACGGGUAGCCGGCCUGAGAGGGCGACCGGCCACAUUGGGACUGAGAUACGGCCCAGACUCCUACGGGAGGCAGCAGUGGGGAAUAUUGCACAAUGGGCGCAAGCCUGAUGCAGCGACGCCGCGUGAGGGAUGGAGGCCUUCGGGUUGUAAACCUCUUUUAUCGGGGAGCAAGCGAGAGUGAGUUUACCCGUUGAAUA